Molecule: non-coding RNA, 763 nt
Organism: Salvelinus fontinalis (brook trout)
Lineage: Eukaryota; Metazoa; Chordata; Actinopteri; Salmoniformes; Salmonidae
Source: the annotation of a RefSeq genome assembly
GACAACAGAACCACAACAACCAUGACUUUUAUUACCAUCUUCAUCUGGACACUUGCUUUCUGCUUUCAAGAAUCCAGAGGACAGUACACUGUGACUCAGACUCCUUCAGUGGAAACUGUUCUCCCAGGACAGAUGCUCUCUCUGAAGUGUAAAACCAGCAGUAAUGUUUACAACAAUGACUUUUUAGCCUGGUACCAACAGAAACCUGGAGGAGCUCCUAAACUCCUUAUUUACCGUGCUACAACACUUCAGUCUGGGACUCCAUCUAGAUUCAGCGGCAGUGGAUCUGGGAGGGACUUCACUCUGACCAUGAGUGGAGUCCAGGCUGAAGAUGCAGGAGAUUACUACUGUCAGAGUGAACACAGUGGUGAUGUGUUCACACAGUGAUACAGAGCCGUACAAAAACCUCCCUCAGUCAGACUGCACAGUGACUGUACUGCUACAGCUGGGACCUACUGCAGGUACUGAGGGGGAAGAGACAGUGACAGGGAACACUGACUGAACUAAAAUACACCGAGCUAAAUAUAUCAGUGAUGGUGACUAUAAUGUAAACUUAUCCACCUUCAUGUGAAAUCAUUCCUGAACUGACAACACCCAUAGGUCCAGACUACAUAAAUAUGCCUUCCCUUUUGCUGUGGCUAACAAACCUUUUAUUUAACAUUUCAGACAAUAAGUUGAAUGGACUCUAUCUAUGUGAAAUAAUAAUGUCUCACAUAAUUUCAUAAUAAAUAUCCCAGUCCCUGUAUUGGCUAAUGAAUUUCAA